UUGCUUUAGGGAAUUUUGCAGGGGAAAAAAAGAAAUGACAUGUGGGAAGAAGGCCUUUCCCAUUGCUGACCUAACGCCAUCAUCUCAUGGACAAAGACCGUAAUUAGCGCGCUUUGACGGCGCGGGCUUGCAAAUGUGGCAUGUUCAUUAUCGCACCACUACUGCAGCCACUAUGCAUUUAUCUCUUCUAGUAGGUCUUUCUCACCGCAGGCUCGCCGUGUACGGUUUAGAUGGGAGAGAGAGAGAGGGGCUACAGACGAUUCCAGUUACCUUGACACCCUAAUAGACUGCCUUUCCUCAACCAGUGCAAUCGAGCAAACCAGUGGAGCAAAAAUCAUUAGGGCCGUCCUUAGGGGGGUGCAACUGGUGCGGCCACACCGGGCCAUGCGGCGAAUGGACCCCGGAACGCAGUGCCUCAAGCGAUCGUCCGAGUUUUCUCAACCCAUAUGCUACAUUUAAUACCUGCUGCGACAAAGAUUAUUAGUUACAUGCAACUGUCAUUAAAAAUUGAUUUAUUCACCCUCUGCAGGGAGCGGUUCUGCCCUCCUGAUCACAAGAGUGUGCCUUAACAGUAUGGUGGGCUUUCUCACAACGCAACCCCAUACACUUAAUAUAAAAAAUGUCAAAAUGUGUUGCAUUUGCAUAGUUCAUACCUACUCAA
Sinocyclocheilus rhinocerous is the source of this 661-nucleotide long non-coding RNA. RefSeq lists it as uncharacterized. NCBI's taxonomy places the organism in Eukaryota, Metazoa, Chordata, Actinopteri, Cypriniformes, Cyprinidae. The transcript has 3 exons. The record is from RefSeq and is a predicted model, not a curated record.